GAUGAACGCUGGCGGCGUGCCUAAUACAUGCAAGUCGAGCGAACAGACGAGGAGCUUGCUCCUCUGACGUUAGCGGCGGACGGGUGAGUAACACGUGGAUAACCUACCUAUAAGACUGGGAUAACUUCGGGAAACCGGAGCUAAUACCGGAGAAUAUAUUGAACCGCAUGGGUCAAUAGUGAAAGACGGUUUUGCUGUAACUUAUAGAUGGAUCCGCGCCGCAUUAGCUAGUUGGUAAGGUAACGGGUUACCAAGGCAACGAUGCGUAGCCGACCUGAGAGGGUGAUCGGCCACACUGGAACUGAGACACGGUCCAGACUCCUACGGGAGGCAGCAGUAGGGAAUCUUCCGCAAUGGGCGAAAGCCUGACGCAGCAACGCCGCGUGAGUGAUGAAGGUCUUCGGAUCGUAAAACUCUGUUAUUAGGGAAGAACAAAUGUGUAAGUAAAUAUACACGUCUUGACGGUACCUGAUCAGAAAGCCACGGCUAACUACGUG
This 497-nucleotide ribosomal RNA is filed under the name uncultured bacterium. RNAcentral's name for it is "partial 16S ribosomal RNA". It matches the Rfam family "Bacterial small subunit ribosomal RNA", at positions 28 to 507 of the family's 1533-position model. The record is from RNAcentral.